UACAGAGGGGGCAAGCGUUGUUCGGAAUUACUGGGCGUAAAGGGCGCGUAGGCGGCCCGCUAAGUCGGACGUGAAAUCCCUCGGCUCAACCGGGGAACUGCGUCCGAUACUGGCGGGCUUGAAUUCGGGAGAGGGAUGUGGAAUUCCAGGUGUAGCGGUGAAAUGCGUAGAUAUCUGGAGGAACACCGGUGGCGAAGGCGGCAUCCUGGACCGACAUUGACGCUGAGGCGCGAAAGCCAGGGGAGCAAACGGG
This 253-nucleotide ribosomal RNA is filed under the name uncultured bacterium. Its description in RNAcentral is "partial 16S ribosomal RNA". It matches the Rfam family "Bacterial small subunit ribosomal RNA", at positions 524 to 776 of the family's 1533-position model. The record is from RNAcentral.